AGCCCAGAGCCUGAAUCAGUGUGUGUGUUAGUGGAAGCGUCUGGAAAGGCGCGCGAUACAGGGUGACAGCCCCGUACACAAAAAUGCACAUGCUGUGAGCUCGAUGAGUAGGGCGGGACACGUGGUAUCCUGUCUGAAUAUGGGGGGACCAUCCUCCAAGGCUAAAUACUCCUGACUGACCGAUAGUGAACCAGUACCGUGAGGGAAAGGCGAAAAGAACCCCGGCGAGGGGAGUGAAAAAGAACCUGAAACCGUGUACGUACAAGCAGUGGGAGCCUCUUUAUGGGGUGACUGCGUACCUUUUGUAUAAUGGGUCAGCGACUUAUAUUCUGUAGCAAGGUUAACCGAAUAGGGGAGCCGAAGGGAAACCGAGUCUUAACUGGGCGUUAAGUUGCAGGGUAUAGACCCGAAACCCGGUGAUCUAGCCAUGGGCAGGUUGAAGGUUGGGUAACACUAACUGGAGGACCGAACCGACUAAUGUUGAAAAAUUAGCGGAUGACUUGUGGCUGGGGGUGAAAGGCCAAUCAAACCGGGAGAUAGCUGGUUCUCCCCGAAAGCUAUUUAGGUAGCGCCUCGUGAAUUCAUCUCCGGGGGUAGAGCACUGUUUCGGCAAGGGGGUCAUCCCGACUUACCAACCCGAUGCAAACUGCGAAUACCGGAGAAUGUUAUCACGGGAGACACACGGCGGGUGCUAACGUCCGUCGUGAAGAGGGAAACAACCCAGACCGCCAGCUAAGGUCCCAAAGUCAUGGUUAAGUGGGAAACGAUGUGGGAAGGCCCAGACAGCCAGGAUGUUGGCUUAGAAGCAGCCAUCAUUUAAAGAAAGCGUAAUAGCUCACUGGUCGAGUCGGCCUGCGCGGAAGAUGUAACGGGGCUAAACCAUGCACCGAAGCUGCGGCAGCGACACUAUGUGUUGUUGGGUAGGGGAGCGUUCUGUAAGCCUGCGAAGGUGUACUGUGAGGUAUGCUGGAGGUAUCAGAAGUGCGAAUGCUGACAUAAGUAACGAUAAAGCGGGUGAAAAGCCCGCUCGCCGGAAGACCAAGGGUUCCUGUCCAACGUUAAUCGGGGCAGGGUGAGUCGACCCCUAAGGCGAGGCCGAAAGGCGUAGUCGAUGGGAAACAGGUUAAUAUUCCUGUACUUGGUGUUACUGCGAAGGGGGGACGGAGAAGGCUAUGUUGGCCGGGCGACGGUUGUCCCGGUUUAAGCGUGUAGGCUGGUUUUCCAGGCAAAUCCGGAAAAUCAAGGCUGAGGCGUGAUGACGAGGCACUACGGUGCUGAAGCAACAAAUGCCCUGCUUCCAGGAAAAGCCUCUAAGCAUCAGGUAACAUCAAAUCGUACCCCAAACCGACACAGGUGGUCAGGUAGAGAAUACCAAGGCGCUUGAGAGAACUCGGGUGAAGGAACUAGGCAAAAUGGUGCCGUAACUUCGGGAGAAGGCACGCUGAUACGUAGGUGAAGCGACUUGCUCGUGGAGCUGAAAUCAGUCGAAGAUACCAGCUGGCUGCAACUGUUUAUUAAAAACACAGCACUGUGCAAACACGAAAGUGGACGUAUACGGUGUGACGCCUGCCCGGUGCCGGAAGGUUAAUUGAUGGGGUUAGCGGUAACGCGAAGCUCUUGAUCGAAGCCCCGGUAAACGGCGGCCGUAACUAUAACGGUCCUAAGGUAGCGAAAUUCCUUGUCGGGUAAGUUCCGACCUGCACGAAUGGCGUAAUGAUGGCCAGGCUGUCUCCACCCGAGACUCAGUGAAAUUGAACUCGCUGUGAAGAUGCAGUGUACCCGCGGCAAGACGGAAAGACCCCGUGAACCUUUACUAUAGCUUGACACUGAACAUUGAGCCUUGAUGUGUAGGAUAGGUGGGAGGCUUUGAAGUGUGGACGCCAGUCUGCAUGGAGCCGACCUUGAAAUACCACCCUUUAAUGUUUGAUGUUCUAACGUUGGCCCGUGAUCCGGGUUGCGGACAGUGUCUGGUGGGUAGUUUGACUGGGGCGGUCUCCUCCUAAAGAGUAACGGAGGAGCACGAAGGUUGGCUAAUCCUGGUCGGACAUCAGGAGGUUAGUGCAAUGGCAUAAGCCAGCUUGACUGCGAGCGUGACGGCGCGAGCAGGUGCGAAAGCAGGUCAUAGUGAUCCGGUGGUUCUGAAUGGAAGGGCCAUCGCUCAACGGAUAAAAGGUACUCCGGGGAUAACAGGCUGAUACCGCCCAAGAGUUCAUAUCGACGGCGGUGUUUGGCACCUCGAUGUCGGCUCAUCACAUCCUGGGGCUGAAGUAGGUCCCAAGGGUAUGGCUGUUCGCCAUUUAAAGUGGUACGCGAGCUGGGUUUAGAACGUCGUGAGACAGUUCGGUCCCUAUCUGCCGUGGGCGCUGGAGAACUGAGGGGGGCUGCUCCUAGUACGAGAGGACCGGAGUGGACGCAUCACUGGUGUUCGGGUUGUCAUGCCAAUGGCACUGCCCGGUAGCUAAAUGCGGAAGAGAUAAGUGCUGAAAGCAUCUAAGCACGAAACUUGCCCCGAGAUGAGUUCUCCCUGACUCCCUGAGAGUCCUGAAGGAACGUUGAAGACGACGACGUUGAUAGGCCGGGUGUGUAAGCGCAGCGAUGCGUUGAGCUAACCGGUACUAAUGAACCGUGAGGCUUAACCUU
This 2640-nucleotide ribosomal RNA is filed under the name Escherichia coli KTE204. Its description in RNAcentral is "bacterial LSU rRNA". It matches the Rfam family "Bacterial large subunit ribosomal RNA", at positions 296 to 2925 of the family's 2925-position model. The record is from RNAcentral. Lineage: Bacteria; Pseudomonadati; Pseudomonadota; Gammaproteobacteria; Enterobacterales; Enterobacteriaceae.